AGAAUCAACGCUGGCGGCGUGCCUCAGACAUGCAAGUCGAACGCGAAAGUCCCCUUCGGGGGACAAGUAGAGUGGCGCACGGGUGAGUAACACGUAGGUAAUCUACCUUUGGAUGGGGAAUAACAACCGGAAACGGUUGCUAAUACCGCAUAAUGCAGCGGCACCUAAUGGUGACAGUUGUUAAAGCGGGGGAUCGAAAGACCUCGCGUCUGAAGAGGAGCCUGCGGCGGAUUAGCUAGUUGGUAAGUAAUGGCUUACCAAGGCUACGAUCC
RNAcentral lists this ribosomal RNA (272 nucleotides) under uncultured soil bacterium. RNAcentral's name for it is "partial 16S ribosomal RNA". It matches the Rfam family "Bacterial small subunit ribosomal RNA", at positions 26 to 282 of the family's 1533-position model. The record is from RNAcentral.